RNAcentral lists this long non-coding RNA (125 nucleotides) under Dasypus novemcinctus (nine-banded armadillo). RNAcentral's name for it is "lncRNA (ENSDNOG00000050824.1)". The record is from RNAcentral. Lineage: Eukaryota; Metazoa; Chordata; Mammalia; Cingulata; Dasypodidae.
UGACACGCUUCUUACCAAGAUGGCGGGUAAUCUCCGUUCGGAGUUUGAUGUGAUCGUAAUAGGGAUGGGUGCUGAAAGCAAGCAUCCUAUUUUACACCAUCCACCUAUCCACCCACAAUCUGAGA